This 253-nucleotide ribosomal RNA is filed under the name uncultured bacterium. Its description in RNAcentral is "partial 16S ribosomal RNA". It matches the Rfam family "Bacterial small subunit ribosomal RNA", at positions 524 to 776 of the family's 1533-position model. The record is from RNAcentral.
UACGGGGGGAGCAAGCGUUGUUCGGAAUCACUGGGCGUAAAGGGCGUCUAGGCGGUUUGGUAAGUGGGAUGUGAAAUCCCCGGGCUCACCCCGGGACCUGCAUCCCAAACUGCUGAGCUUGAGUACAGGAGAGGGUGGGGGAAUUCCAGGUGUAGCGGUGAAAUGCGUAGAUAUCUGGAGGAACACCUAUUGCGAAGGCAGCUCGCUGGGACGUAACUGACGCUGAGACGCGAAAGCGUGGGGAGCAAACAGG